GACGUAGGGGGCCAGCGUUGUUCGGAAUUACUGGGCGUAAAGAGCGUGUAGGCGGCUUGUUAAGUCUUGCGUGAAAUCUCGGGGCUCAACCCCGAGCGGUCGUGAGAAACUGGCAGGCUAGAGUGCGGGAGAGGAGAGUGGAAUUCCUGGUGUAGCGGUGAAAUGCGCAGAUAUCAGGAAGAACACCCGUGGCGAAGGCGGGUCUCUGGGCCGAUAUUGACGCUGAGGAGCGAAAGCGUGGGGAGCGAACAGG
RNAcentral lists this ribosomal RNA (253 nucleotides) under uncultured bacterium. Its description in RNAcentral is "partial 16S ribosomal RNA". It matches the Rfam family "Bacterial small subunit ribosomal RNA", at positions 524 to 776 of the family's 1533-position model. The record is from RNAcentral.